Molecule: ribosomal RNA, 329 nt
Filed under: uncultured eukaryote
Lineage: Eukaryota
Description: partial 18S ribosomal RNA
Rfam family: Eukaryotic small subunit ribosomal RNA
Source: RNAcentral
CCCUUAGAUGUUCUGGGCCGCACGCGCGCUACAAUGAUGAAUUCAACGAGUUUAUAACCUUGGUUGAAAAGCCUGGGUAAUCUUUUGAACUUUCGUCGUGAUGGGGCUAGACCCUUGCAAUUAUUGGUCUCCAACGAGGAAUUCCUAGUAAACGCCAGUCAUCAGCUUGCAUUGAUUACGUCCCUGCCCUUUGUACACACCGCCCGUCGCACCUACCGAUUGAAUGGUCCGGUGAAAUCUUCGGAUUGAGACUUUGAUUUCUUCACGGAAAACGCUGUUUUAAAAAGUUGAUUAAACCUUACCAUUUAGAGGAAGGUGAAGUCGUAACA